CCCGUGGUUCAGCCCACGGUAGCCUAGGGGUAGGGCACUUCCGGUAACGGAUUUGUCUGAAGCUCCCUGACAAUGUACCCACCCGCAAGGGUCUGUUCUCCGUGAGGGGAGCAGGGGAUUCUGCCAGCAUCAGGCGGAUGAGGGG
This 145-nucleotide non-coding RNA is filed under the name Aeromonas salmonicida. Lineage: Bacteria; Pseudomonadati; Pseudomonadota; Gammaproteobacteria; Aeromonadales; Aeromonadaceae. The record is from RNAcentral.